RNAcentral lists this transfer RNA (60 nucleotides) under Brevibacillus formosus. Its description in RNAcentral is "tRNA-Ala". It matches the Rfam family "tRNA", at positions 7 to 64 of the family's 71-position model. Rfam says of the family: Transfer RNA (tRNA) molecules are approximately 80 nucleotides in length. Their secondary structure includes four short double-helical elements and three loops (D, anti-codon, and T loops). The record is from RNAcentral. Lineage: Bacteria; Bacillati; Bacillota; Bacilli; Caryophanales; Paenibacillaceae.
GUAGCUCAGUUGGGAGAGCGCCUGCCUUGCAAGCAGGAGGUCAUCGGUUCGAUCCCGUUC